This is a long non-coding RNA of Pan paniscus (pygmy chimpanzee), 981 nucleotides long. The record is from Ensembl. NCBI's taxonomy places the organism in Eukaryota, Metazoa, Chordata, Mammalia, Primates, Hominidae.
GAAAUAUUCAGAGUAGAAUGGGGAGAAGCAGGCUAGAGACUCCCAGUAGGUUUUAGCAAUAAAUGUGCAAAUAUCACAGAAGGCAAGACAUUUCUUGUCCAGAGUCACAGGUCAUGGGAGUCAUUGGUACUAUUGAGAUAAUUUUAAAAGACCUUUCUGAAAUAUCACCUUCAAGCAGUUGAGGGAUUUUGGUUUGCUAACAAAACCAUCUGGGACAUUCUAGUAAUUAGAACAAUCACAGCCAGGACUCAUGUGAGAGAAGGUUUCAAACUCUUCCUUAUUAUUGAAUUUUGGAAUUUGGAACCAACUCCUUCACCCCAUUGUAUUUUCUUUUGCCAUCUUUCUUACUCACCAAACCUAUCAUUAUUUCUUCCUUUCCAGGGACUUCUAUGCCCUCUGCAGUUUGCCUCUUCCUCUGCUAUUUUUUCAUGUAUGUGUAUGUUUUUUGCCUGUAUUUGCAAUGCCAGCCAUCAUUUGCCAUGUCUUCUAGCGGCAACCUGCAUUUAGCCCAGAUCUGCUGUGAUUAUUCCUUUUCACAAGCCACAAUGACUCCGGAAAACCUGGCUGUAAACACCAGCACUGCCACCAGCUAAGGAUCUGUGAUCAGGAGUGCCAUCUCACGGUAACAGGGGUGAAGAUAAGCUUGUGCAGGCCACUGGCUAACACAGUUCAUCCCAUGCCUCCUACAUACCAAGCACUGUGCCAGGCACUUUUCACGUCUGGCAUCCUCAGAAUCCUCCAAAAGGUGGGUGAUAUGGUUUCACUGUGUCCCCACCCAAAUCUCAACCUGAAUUGUAGCUCCCAUAAUCCCCACAUGUUAUGGGAGGGACUUGGUGGGAGAUAAUCGAAUCAUGGGGGCAGUUUCUCACAUAUUAUUCUCAUGAUAGUGAAUAAGUCUCAUGAGAUCUGAUGUUUUUAUAAGGGGUUUCUGCUGUGGCUUGGCUCUCAUUGUCUCUUGCCAACAUCACGUACAAAGUGCCU